RNAcentral lists this ribosomal RNA (440 nucleotides) under uncultured bacterium. Its description in RNAcentral is "partial 16S ribosomal RNA". It matches the Rfam family "Bacterial small subunit ribosomal RNA", at positions 338 to 795 of the family's 1533-position model. The record is from RNAcentral.
CCUACGGGAGGCAGCAGUAGGGAAUAUUGCUCAAUGGGGGAAAGCCUGAACCAGCAACGCCGCGUGGAGGAUGACGGUUUUCGGAUUGUUAACUCCUUUUGUUAGAGAAGAUAAUGACGGUAUCUAACGAAUAAGCACCGUCUAACUCCGUGCCAGCAGCCGCAGUAAUACGGAGGGUGCAAGCGUUACUCGGAAUCACUGGGCGUAAAGAGCGCGUAGGCGGGAUAGCAAGUCAGAUGUGAAAUCCUCUGGCUUAACCAUAGAACUGCAGUUGAAACUGUUAUGCUAGAGUACGGGAGAGGUAGGUGGAAUUCGUGGUGUAGGGGUAAAAUCCGUAGAGAUCAAGAAGAAUACUGAUUGCGAAGGCGACCUGCUAGAACAUAACUGACGCUGAUGCGCGAAAGCGUGGGGAUCAAACAGGAUUAGAUACCCGAGUAGUC